Molecule: ribosomal RNA, 253 nt
Filed under: uncultured bacterium
Lineage: Bacteria
Description: partial 16S ribosomal RNA
Rfam family: Bacterial small subunit ribosomal RNA
Source: RNAcentral
UACAGAGGGUGCGAGCGUUAAUCGGAGUGACUGGGCGUAAAGGGCGCGUAGGUGGCCUGAUAAGUCUGAUGUGAAAGCCCCGGGCUUAACCUGGGAAAGUCAUUGGAAACUGUCAAGCUAGAGUCUAGGAGAGGGAAGUGGAAUUUCCGGUGUAGCGGUGAAAUGCGUAGAGAUCGGAAGGAACACCAGUGGCGAAGGCGACUUUCUGGCCAAAGACUGACACUGAGGCGCGAAAGCGUGGGUAGCGAACAGG